UUGCUGCCUUUCGGUGACCACGCAUGACAGUUCACACAGCCAGUGGCCGGUCAGUGGUGGGCACUGGGCUCCCAGAAGGAUGCCAGUCCAGGAACACCCAAUGGGCCCUCAGUGCUCUGGGGAGGUGCUGCGAUGCUGGUGGCCAGGAAGGCAAACAGGAAGGUAGUCAUUUAUUCUGUAAUCCGAAUCAGCAUAAACACACCAUAAAGUCCAAGUGUGUAAUGAAUUACAUCUCAGAUUCACUGAGAAAAGAAGCUUAAGAUAUAACGAGGAAAACCUUCUACGAUGAUAUCUCCAGUGGCCAAUAAUUAGACUGUGGGCUACAUGGACGGCCUUGAAGAUGGAGCAUCUUGUAUCAACCUGGUGAACAUUUUCUUUUACCGGACUCGCGGAGUUCUGUUCCUUUUGUCUCUUUGGCGCUUCUCUGCAGACUUCCCAAGGAGCCACUGGCUUAGUACCCUGCCCACCAGACUCAUGGACUCAUGACAAGAGAGCGCAGCAGGAUCCUGGGAUGCUGGGUGCCCGAGGGAGGGUGACCCACACCCCGGAAGUUAGGCAGCAGCAUGGCACAGCUGUGCCUGAGAGCCCAGAGCCUUAUGCCUGCUUCCUGCUGGCGGCCCUUAACCUCCUCUGGCUAAGAAGGAUGUCCACUCACUAGUGACCAGCCAGUGUGCACCUCUGGGAGGGUGGGAUGUGGGGACUGGAUUCGCCCACAUCAGCAAAUCUUCUCCAGAAAAGAAAGAGCCUCUGUUCCCUCCCCACCCGGAGACCAAGACUGCUGACCUUAUUUCUUCAUCUGUGAAAUAAGAAGCGUCUUACCUACUGUGGAAGGUGGUUGGAAGGAUGAAAUGAGCAAAGGGAUGCAAAGU
This 869-nucleotide long non-coding RNA is filed under the name Sus scrofa (pig). RNAcentral's name for it is "lncRNA (ENSSSCG00070004971.1)". The record is from RNAcentral. Lineage: Eukaryota; Metazoa; Chordata; Mammalia; Artiodactyla; Suidae.